UGGUGGGUAGUUUGACUGGGGCGGUCUCCUCCUAAAGAGUAACGGAGGAGCACGAAGGUUGGCUAAUCCUGGUCGGACAUCAGGAGGUUAGUGCAAUGGCAUAAGCCAGCUUGACUGCGAGCGUGACGGCGCGAGCAGGUGCGAAAGCAGGUCAUAGUGAUCCGGUGGUUCUGAAUGGAAGGGCCAUCGCUCAACGGAUAAAAGGUACUCCGGGGAUAACAGGCUGAUACCGCCCAAGAGUUCAUAUCGACGGCGGUGUUUGGCACCUCGAUGUCGGCUCAUCACAUCCUGGGGCUGAAGUAGGUCCCAAGGGUAUGGCUGUUCGCCAUUUAAAGUGGUACGCGAGCUGGGUUUAGAACGUCGUGAGACAGUUCGGUCCCUAUCUGCCGUGGGCGCUGGAAGACUGAGGGGGGCUGCUCCUAGUACGAGAGGACCGGAGUGGACGCAUCACUGGUGUUCGGGUUGUCAUGCCAAUGGCACUGCCCGGUAGCUAAAUGCGGAAAAGAUAAGUGCUGAAAGCAUCUAAGCACGAAACUUGCCCCGAGAUGAGUCUUCCCUGAGACUUUGAGUCUCCUGAAGGAACGUUAAAGACGAUGACGUUGAUAGGCCGGGUGUGUAAGCGCAGCGAUGCGUUGAGCUAACCGGUACUAAUGAACC
This 657-nucleotide ribosomal RNA is filed under the name Salmonella enterica subsp. diarizonae. RNAcentral's name for it is "partial 23S ribosomal RNA". It matches the Rfam family "Bacterial large subunit ribosomal RNA", at positions 2259 to 2910 of the family's 2925-position model. The record is from RNAcentral. Lineage: Bacteria; Pseudomonadati; Pseudomonadota; Gammaproteobacteria; Enterobacterales; Enterobacteriaceae.